RNAcentral lists this ribosomal RNA (253 nucleotides) under uncultured bacterium. RNAcentral describes it as "partial 16S ribosomal RNA". It matches the Rfam family "Bacterial small subunit ribosomal RNA", at positions 524 to 776 of the family's 1533-position model. The record is from RNAcentral.
UACGUACUGUGCGAACGUUAUUCGGAAUCACUGGGCUUAAAGGGUGUGUAGGCGGCCCGAUAAGUAGGGUGUGAAAGGCUUCGGCUCAACCGGGGCAUUGCGCUCUAGACUGUCGGGCUCGAGUGAGACAGGGGUGUGCGGAACUUCCAGUGGAGCGGUGAAAUGUGUUGAUAUUGGAAGGAACGCCGGUGGCGAAAGCGGCACACUGGGUCUUGUCUGACGCUGAGACACGAAAGCCAGGGGAGCGAACGGG